UUCAGAUAAAUUACACACUUUUGAAUUAGUUUUUAUUUUUGUAAAUUAACUCUUAAUUCAGAUCCAUUUGAAAUCAAUAUGCAUAGUAUGCAUAUAUCAAUCAUGACCAAACACUUUUAUCUGAAAAGGGGCAUACAAAGUUAAAGGUUUUGAAUAGAACUACACUACAAAGUAACUAUCACUAAUGCCUGCUGUGUCAAAAAUAUAUUACUUAGUUGCUGCCAUUUAUUUUUUGGUUAAACAAGUGCCAGUGUCAAUUUGAACUGAUUUUAAAUUGAUACAUUUGAAUGAAAUUUUUAAAGCAUAAUGCAAAUGUUGAAAUCAAGAUGCAAUACUUAAACCUGUAACCUAUAAAAAUAUUCAAAGUCAAUUCCCUGACUGAAGUGGAGGGUCAAAUAAUCUCUUAAUAAUGUUCAAAUGAGAACUGUCAAGGCUAGUACAAAUGUUUACCUCAUAAGUGGUUCAUCUUAUACACAAACUUUAAUAGUAAGUAACGACCCUUGGGGGGAAACUCCAAGAAUGAGACAUGUUAUUACCAGAACAAUACUAUGCUAACACAAAGUUAGUAUCUUACAGAAACAAAACUUGUGUAGUGUACGCCAAACAAGACCAUCUCAAGUUUUUAGAGUGCAGCAAUUUUAUGGGAUAAAUAAACUUCAAAAAUAUGCAAAUUUACAUUUUUAUCCUUGACCAUUUCUGUAUAAAGAUUUUCCUAUAUUUUCGACAGAAACACUUCAUUUAACACACUCAUAAAUAUUUAUGUUUACAAUAUAAAUAAAUAUAACUGAUAAAAGACAAAGUAAAUAUGCCUAAUAACUACUAAUAACUUAUCUAAAGAAUGUAAAUCAAUUAUAAAUCAUGCUUAUUAUAUUGUAAAUCAACUAUCAUCUGGGUAAUUACAGUAGAUAUAAGUAACUAUUUAUAUUACAUUUAACAUCGAACAUUCCUUUCUUGUUCUUUUUUAAAACAUUUCUUUCACUACACCGGUCAUUUAAUGUUGAAUAUUAAUAUUUGGCAUUAAAUACUAGUAAACAAUUAAAUCUUGCAAGUGUAUCCUAUCACUGACCUGUGAAGAUACAAUGAAAGUUAGGGAGGGUUUGUUGUUGUUGAAGAAAUAUGUGGUGUUUGCAUUCUUGAGACAAAAUCCCUAAACACACUCAAAUCCUGAAGCAAAGGAACAGCAAUUUUAUUCAGAAAUAUAUAUGUGAUACAAUUAUUUCAUACAUUGUGUAUGUGCUAGUAAACCGUCUCAUCAGAAUGUUUAUAUUUGAUGUAAUGUAAUUUAAGUUUUAGCUUAUUUCUUUUGGCUGCAAUUUUGGAGGGGUAACAGGUUGAUUUUCUUAUUCGACUAAACAAAUUGACAUGUAUGAUACAAACAAGUCUGAUUAAAGAUCUAUACAAGAUUGUAGUGAUAAAUCAAGCAAGGCUAAAUGAAAUUUUUAAUUGUUCAGAUCAAAAAGUGUCUAAAGUCAGAUAUUAACUAGUUGAAUGUCCCAGGUGCAGAUACUAUGAUAGGGAAGAAACUUAUUGCACAAACUGUUUCAAAUCUCCUCACUUUUGUAUUUUUUGAAACCCUGUUGGUGUAUAUUUAUUGAUACAAACUCAAUAGUUUUUUCCUGUAGGCAAUUGUCCUAUUAUUACCCUCUAAUAGUACAACUAAUGACUAUACAUAUGGGGAUAGAAAUAUUUGGUUCUAAAUUAGUCAAUGAAGUAAGCUUAAUAAUGAGCUUGAUAGGCAAAUUUUAUACUUGACAAUUAAUAUUUCAUGCAUUUUCUAUGGAAAACUACAAGUGCCACAAAGUACCCUCCUAAGUAGGUCCUUACACUAAUAUCUACAAUAGACUUCCAGUAAUGGUUAACAUUCAAUUGAGAUAAAAAAGUUAGUUACAUAUACACAGCAUGCAUAGAUUGUGGUUAACACAUGUAUAUUUAAAUUAUAUUAGCGAAUUCAUAAAAUAAAAUAAAAUUUUACAAUGUAUAAACAAAUUUAUUACCAAAAUAUUUACCUAAAGAAUAUGUUCAAACAAAAGCUAACUCUAUAUGAAAAUCAGGCACUUAUCUAACCUAUUGGUUUCUUUGUCAAGUGGUUUAUUGCAGUAAUAAUCACAUAAAGCCUCUCUUUGACACAAAGGAUGGAUUAUCAUGAGAAAAAAAAGAAAAUCAAUAUAUUGCAAUAAAUGAAACAACUACAAUUUGUAUGGAAAAUUCAGUCAUAUUUACAAAUGAAAUUUUUAAAAUAGUUUUCAAAAUUCAUCUGCUUAUUUUAAUAAUUCUAACUAUAUACAAUUGCCUUUGAAAAUAAUCAAUAUCAUAACAUGGUUAAUUUUCCAACCAAGCUAAAUAAUUGCCUACAGUAAACCCUUGGUUUGUGUACAUAUACACAUGUAUUAAAUUACUAUUACAUUAACAGCUGACCCUAUAAUUUGGUCCUAGAAGUAAUCCUCCAUGUAAUGAUACAUUUUAUACCUUUAUCAAUAUAAAUUAAAACAUUUACUUGUUUGUCAAAUUACAAAUUUUCCUAGAAAACUUUAAUCAUUGGACAAACUGAAAUAUAUAUCCCAUUUCACUUGCACUUUCUGUCUAUUGAAAACCUUCUACUAGCUAGAAAUAUGCUAAAAUUAGCAUCAGUUGAGCAUUUUUAAUUCAAACCUCAACUUGAUAUAUUCAACUA
RNAcentral lists this long non-coding RNA (2671 nucleotides) under Mytilus galloprovincialis (Mediterranean mussel). The record is from RNAcentral. Lineage: Eukaryota; Metazoa; Mollusca; Bivalvia; Mytilida; Mytilidae.